This 435-nucleotide ribosomal RNA is filed under the name uncultured bacterium. RNAcentral's name for it is "partial 16S ribosomal RNA". It matches the Rfam family "Bacterial small subunit ribosomal RNA", at positions 28 to 507 of the family's 1533-position model. The record is from RNAcentral.
GAUGAACGCUGGCGGUAUGCUUAACACAUGCAAGUCGAACGGACUCUUCGGAGUUAGUGGCGGACGGGUGAGUAACGCGUGAGAAUCUGGCUUUGGGUUCGGGACAACCACUGGAAACGGUGGCUAAUACCGGAUGUGCCGAGAGGUAAAAGAGAAAUUGCCUGAAGAUGAGCUCGCGUCUGAUUAGCUAGUUGGUGAGGUAAAGGCUCACCAGGGCAGCGAUCAGUAGCUGGUCUGAGAGGAUGACCAGCCACACUGGGACUGAGACACGGCCCAGACUCCUACGGGAGGCAGCAGGGGGGAAUUUUCCGCAAUGGGCGAAAGCCUGACGGAGCAAUACCGCGUGAGGGAAGAAGGCUCUUGGGUUGUAAACCUCUUUUCUUAGGGAAGAACAAAAUGACGGUACCUAAGGAAUCAGCAUCGGCUAACUCCGUG